Molecule: ribosomal RNA, 643 nt
Filed under: uncultured organism
Description: SSU rRNA
Rfam family: Bacterial small subunit ribosomal RNA
Source: RNAcentral
GACGAACGCUGGCGGCGUGCUUAACACAUGCAAGUCGAACGAAGAGCGAUGGAAGCUUGCUUCUAUCAAUCUUAGUGGCGAACGGGUGAGUAACGCGUAAUCAACCUGCCCUUCAGAGGGGGACAACAGUUGGAAACGACUGCUAAUACCGCAUACGAUCCAAUCUCGGCAUCGAGGAUGGAUGAAAGGUGGCCUCUAUUUAUAAGCUAUCACUGAAGGAGGGGAUUGCGUCUGAUUAGCUAGUUGGAGGGGUAACGGCCCACCAAGGCGAUGAUCAGUAGCCGGUCUGAGAGGAUGAACGGCCACAUUGGGACUGAGACACGGCCCAGACUCCUACGGGAGGCAGCAGUGGGGAAUCUUCCGCAAUGGACGAAAGUCUGACGGAGCAACGCCGCGUGAGUGAUGACGGCCUUCGGGUUGUAAAGCUCUGUUAAUCGGGACGAAAGGCCUUCUUGCGAAUAGUUAGAAGGAUUGACGGUACCGGAAUAGAAAGCCACGCCUAACUACGUGCCAGCAGCAGCGGUAAUACGUAGGUGGCAAGCGUUGUCCGGAAUUAUUGGGCGUAAAGCGCGCGCAGGCGGAUUGCUCAGUCUGUCUUAGAAGUUCGGGGCUUAACCCCGUGAUGGGAUGGAAACUGCCAAUC